RNAcentral lists this non-coding RNA (161 nucleotides) under pig gut metagenome. The record is from RNAcentral.
AUGGGAGAAGCUUAGAUGUUCUUGGAGCUCUGUUUUAGACUCAGCAAAUUUCGACACGAUGUCGAAAUAGAUGCAAUGGAGCCAUGGAUGGCGACUUUGCACCAGUUGCGUGCAGUUGAAAAAAAUAUUCUCAGAGUUCCUAGAACAUCUUAGCUUCGUAC